Molecule: ribosomal RNA, 497 nt
Filed under: uncultured bacterium
Lineage: Bacteria
Description: partial 16S ribosomal RNA
Rfam family: Bacterial small subunit ribosomal RNA
Source: RNAcentral
GAUGAACGCUGGCGGCGUGCCUAAUACAUGCAAGUCGAGCGAACGGACGAGAAGCUUGCUCCUCUGAUGUUAGCGGCGGACGGGUGAGUAACACGUGGAUAACCUACCUAUAAGACUGGGAUAACUUCGGGAAACCGGAGCUAAUACCGGAUGAUAUUUUGAACCGCAUGGUUCAAUAGUGAAAGACGGUUUUGCUGUCACUUAUAGAUGGAUCCGCGCUGCAUUAGCUAGUUGGUAAGGUAACGGCUUACCAAGGCAACGAUGCAUAGCCGACCUGAGAGGGUGAUCGGCCACACUGGAACUGAGACACGGUCCAGACUCCUACGGGAGGCAGCAGUAGGGAAUCUUCCGCAAUGGGCGAAAGCUUGACGGAGCAACGCCGCGUGAGUGAUGAAGGUCUUCGGAUCGUAAAACUCUGUUAUUAGGGAAGAACAUAUGUGUAAGUAACUGUGCACAUCUUGACGGUACCUAAUCAGAAAGCCACGGCUAACUACGUG